CUGGGCUUAUCAGUCCAUUCAAAAGUCAGGCAAUAAAGCUUCCUGAAGGGUUUUAUCUAAGCCAAUCAGCAUCAAGUAAACAUUCAUCUGUGUAGGAAAUUCAAAUGUAUGGAGAAGAAUCAUGUAAACAUAUGGCGGUUUCUGAAGCUCAUAUUUUAUAUGUGGAUAAACCUUUUUCCUUAUCAUUUGAAAGAUGACCAAUAUUGUGUCUGUGACAAAGAUGAGGAUCCUGUGACCAACAAGAUUUGAUGGGAAAGUUGGAAAGCUAAAAAACAUGCUAAAAAUGAUUACGUUCCCAGAUAGUGCAGAAAGAAUGAAGCAGAAUCACCAACAGCAGCAGAACUAAAUCGGGCGAUAACGGAACAAGGUUCAUUCUGUCAAAAACAUAUUAAACACAGAAUAUGAACUCUUAAAACAAUAAGUGAUAGUAAAAAUGUGUAAAAAAAUAACAUUUUCA
Mya arenaria is the source of this 457-nucleotide long non-coding RNA. RefSeq lists it as uncharacterized. Lineage: Eukaryota; Metazoa; Mollusca; Bivalvia; Myida; Myidae. The transcript has 3 exons. The record is from RefSeq and is a predicted model, not a curated record.